Molecule: ribosomal RNA, 123 nt
Filed under: Actinomycetota bacterium
Lineage: Bacteria; Bacillati; Actinomycetota
Description: Actinobacteria bacterium partial 16S ribosomal RNA
Rfam family: Bacterial small subunit ribosomal RNA
Source: RNAcentral
UUCUAUGGAGAGUUUGAUCCUGGCUCAGGACGAACGCUGGCGGCGUGCUUUACACAUGCAAGUCGAGCGAUGAGAUCCCUUCGGGGAUGGAUUAGCGGCGAACGGGUGAGGAACACGUGAGGA